This is a long non-coding RNA of Strigops habroptila (Kakapo), 1742 nucleotides long. Lineage: Eukaryota; Metazoa; Chordata; Aves; Psittaciformes; Psittacidae. The record is from Ensembl.
GCCAGCCUUUCGCCCAGGGCAUAAAUGGCCGUCUUGCAGCGGGCGGGGGGGCUGUGGCUGGCGCUUCCCCGCCUUCAGCCCUCCCUCUCGGCAUCUGACAUCUCCUCCCGCCGGGCUGGGCGAGAAAGUGGCUGUCUGCGAAAGUUAACCGGCCUCCCUGCGCACUCUGGAGAAGCGGCGCCGCGGGCCGUGCCCGACCGCCCGCCCCGGCGUUGGGGUGGUGCUCAGGGACGGGCGAUACGCAGAAGGGUCGGUGGUAAAAUGAAAUAAAACAGUACAUUUGGAAAACAGCUCUUCAACUAUGAAAACUACACUAAUAAAAGACUGUAUCUUUCCAGCCCAGCAAAACUGUUGUGUGGAGCUGUCUACUUAUGACACAAUCCUGGAGAGCUGCAGAAGAACCCAGAUCAGGGAAGAACAAUCUAAUUAUCUGCUAGAAUGGAGGCCUGGAGCAACAAAGAUUCAAGAGCAAACCCGCAGUUAGUGGUUACUGUAGACUCUCUUCCUGGCUUUCUCAGCCUCAUUGGAUAACUACUGCCGAUUGAUUACAAUCAGGUAUUUCAGACCCAGCCAUAAACAUCAAAAGGUUAGCAGUGAUGCAACUGGUGCAGAACCACCAGCAGGUCACCUGUGGAAUUUUCUCUAAACAAAAACGUUUUCCUAUGUUUCACACAGGACAGAAGCAGCCAACACACAGAGUAAAACUGGAAUGAACUCUCUGACAGAGUCAUCUGGAUCAUGACAACAGUAUACCAUUAAGUAUUUAGUCAGUGGGAAGGGGCAUGUGAUUGUAACAUAGCUAAGUCAUCAGUCUUGGUAAUUACAGGUAAGAAACAGAAUACUCAGGCAAGCAGUGGAGAAAGAUGGGUUAAAAUAAUAUGAUGUCAGUAAAGACGGGUGGGGACAAAUUCUUUUGCUUUCAAGCAAAAGAAUGCUUACUAUUUAUUUUCCUCUGAAGUUCUUUAUAUUUUAUAGAAACGGACCAUUUUGAAAAAUUCUCAUUGGCUCAAGAAAUAUGCCUGUCCAAGCCUCCUUAAAUCCAUUGAGAAGCAGAGAGGACUAUUAAGGAGAAAGAAACAAUUAAUGAAUGACCCUUGUCAUAUAGCCCUGUUCAAACAUACACUUUCCUCAACAAGUGCAGUAAACUGCAGCUUUGAAUUGGAUGCAAAAAGAAAUAUCCCCCCCAAAAAAGUCAUAUUUAGCUCAGCCAUGAAAGCUGCUCUCUUUAAUGUGGCAAGAACAGGAAUACAAGAGCUUCACAUUCCCCUUUUAUAUGUUUAACCUUUGACAAGAAGGUUAAACACUUUCCUCAUAACUGACUCACAUCAGGAAAUACAAGAACUAUAUUCUCCAGAUGAAGCCUGGCUAGCUGCAAAGUGCAAUGUCAGCGUCUGAAGUGGAGUAAAACAAGGAUUCCUUGUGCAGUUCUUAGUACUUCUACAGGGGCAGGAAGUGGGUCAGCAAAAGGGUCUUUUCCAGACAGGAGAAAGCUAAAAUGGUCAUGAGAACAACAAGGAAGUUCAGCGCAGGGGGAGAAUUGGCUCCAAUUUAAAACAUCUCACUGAGACCUAUUUUAAAUGCAUUGAUGUAUUAAAAUCCCUCCAGCAAAAUAGCAGGAAAGUUUACAAAACAUUAAAUGGAAUAUCUAUGAAAGCUUUCCGUGUUUCCUGUUCUUUGCCUUACAGAUAUUUUAGGGCCAGGUUCUCAUCUGGUGUCAAUGCACCUAACUCCCUUCACUUGGC